UACUACGGGAGGCAGCAGUGGGGAAUAUUGCACAAUGGGCGCAAGCCUGAUGCAGCCAUGCCGCGUGUAUGAAGAAGGCCUUCGGGUUGUAAAGUACUUUCAGCAGUGAGGAAGGUGGGUAUGUUAAUAGCAUACUCAUUUGACGUUAGCUGCAGAAGAAGCACCGGCUAACUCCGUGCCAGCAGCCGCGGUAAUACGGAGGGUGCGAGCGUUAAUCGGAAUUACUGGGCGUAAAGCGCAUGCAGGUGGAUGAUUAAGUCAGAUGUGAAAGCCCGGGGCUCAACCUCGGAAUAGCAUUUGAAACUGGUCAUCUAGAGUACUGUAGAGGGGGGUAGAAUUUCAGGUGUAGCGGUGAAAUGCGUAGAGAUCUGAAGGAAUACCGGUGGCGAAGGCGGCCCCCUGGACAGAUACUGACACUCAGAUGCGAAAGCGUGGGGAGCAAACAGGAUUAGAUACCCUGGUAGUCCACGCCCUAAACGAUGUCUACUUGGAGGUUGUGGCCUUGAGCCGUGGCUUUCGGAGCUAACGCGUUAAGUAAA
Molecule: ribosomal RNA, 539 nt
Filed under: bacterium A3M_VP7_G10
Lineage: Bacteria
Description: bacterial SSU rRNA
Rfam family: Bacterial small subunit ribosomal RNA
Source: RNAcentral